AACAAAUAAAACCCUAAGACACUCUUCUUGGACUUGACUUAAACACAUAAGGCUCAAGCCCAAUCACACACUAAAAUAACACAUAAUAUUAAAACAUAAGCCCAAAAUAUGGCCCAACACUCUAAAACUUAAAAGAUAAAAUAUGGCCAGAAUACAAGCCCAAACAAAGCUAAAAUAAAAUAAGUGUUCAAAUAAUAAAACAUAGCAAGCCCAUCAUAACAAAGCUGAAACUUCACAAAAGCCUUACUUGAUCUUCACUUUAGGCUUCCCUUUGUAUAGUUUUA
RNAcentral lists this long non-coding RNA (284 nucleotides) under Manihot esculenta (cassava). Its description in RNAcentral is "long non-coding RNA (MESC_LNC012643)". The record is from RNAcentral. Lineage: Eukaryota; Viridiplantae; Streptophyta; Magnoliopsida; Malpighiales; Euphorbiaceae.